ACAUUCCAGACUCUUUGGGUAUAGGGAUGCCAGGGUGCCAGACGUUGAGAUGGAGCUCCCACCCAAACACAAGGCCCAACCUGAGAUGGCUUCUAGAGACUGAGAGAGGACCAAGGAUGGAACAGACGCAUGUGCGAAGCAAGGUGGUGGCAGAGGGGGCCAGAAAAUCAGAUGGGCUUCAAUUCCUGCAGAAGUGUGGGCCAGACUAAAGUCCCUCCUUGGGUUUCACAGUGAUCAUUGGGUACAGGUGAACAGUCACUUGUUUUCCUGAUGAGAUUUUGAGGCUGAGCUUAUUUGCCUCUGACAGAACUUUGUGUAGCUCUGAUGCGCCCUGAGCAUGACAGGAGAGCCACGGAGACUAUAAGCUACAGCCCCACGAGGGUGUAUAGCCAAGAUACUUCUACUGGAUUCACCUCCUGCUGCAUCCAGAACAUGCCAGAAUAGCUGCUGCUGCUGAUGCAAAGUCAGAAGGCAUGCUGGACUCCUGUGGCACCACCAUAUCAGAGGAAAGAGGAGGGUAUUACUACAUGAGUGAAUUUUGGAGCUACGACUUCAUCCAUCCUAUUUCCACGAAUCCCUGAAUCUCUAGGGAAACUUCAUGUGAUUUCUGGUCAAGAUUGGAAUUUGGGUUCUGAGCAGGACUUCAUCGAUGCCUUCUGGCCUGGGAAGCCAAGGGCAGCCUGAGCUGCUACAAACCAUGGUGAUCCAGGCCUGGCUAUGUUCAUCUACAGUUUCCAGACAGCAGGAGAGCAGAGUCCCAUGGCUGCCUUGUACAUCUGGACACAGCCACUCCCGAGAAUAUUCAGCUGCAUGCUUGGCACUCUUGGCAGGGUCUCCAUGAACCUAAGCUCACCAACCGGCCAAGAGCAACAGGCCAGUGAAUCUUGGGAAUCUUCCUGUAUCUACCUCCCCAGCACUGGGACUAUGGGUGUGCUCUGCUGUGCCUGGCCUUUUUGCAUGGGUGCUGGGGGCUGAAUUUAUGUCCACUUAUUCAGCAAGCACUUUACUGACAAAGCCAUCUCUUUAACUUCCUAAUCUUGCCUAUUUUUAUAAGGACACUAAUCAUACUUGAUC
Molecule: non-coding RNA, 1074 nt
Organism: Peromyscus maniculatus bairdii (prairie deer mouse)
Lineage: Eukaryota; Metazoa; Chordata; Mammalia; Rodentia; Cricetidae
Source: RefSeq, a predicted model, not a curated record